AUUGAACGCUGGCGGCAUGCCUUACACAUGCAAGUCGAACGGCAGCACGGGAGCAAUCCUGGUGGCGAGUGGCGAACGGGUGAGUAAUAUAUCGGAACGUGCCCAGUCGUGGGGGAUAACGCAGCGAAAGCUGUGCUAAUACCGCAUACGAUCUACGGAUGAAAGCGGGGGAUCGCAAGACCUCGCGCGAUUGGAGCGGCCGAUAUCAGAUUAGCUAGUUGGUGGGGUAAAGGCCCACCAAGGCGACGAUCUGUAGCUGGUCUGAGAGGACGACCAGCCACACUGGAACUGAGACACGGUCCAGACUCCUACGGGAGGCAGCAGUGGGGAAUUUUGGACAAUGGGCGCAAGCCUGAGCCAGCAAUGCCGCGUGCAGGAUGAAGGCCUUCGGGUUGUAAACUGCUUUUGUACGGAACGAAACGGCCCUUUCUAAUACAGGGGGCUAAUGACGGUACCGUAAGAAUAAGCACCGGCUAACUACGUGCCAGCAGCCGCAGUAA
Molecule: ribosomal RNA, 500 nt
Filed under: uncultured bacterium
Lineage: Bacteria
Description: partial 16S ribosomal RNA
Rfam family: Bacterial small subunit ribosomal RNA
Source: RNAcentral